This 654-nucleotide ribosomal RNA is filed under the name uncultured archaeon. RNAcentral describes it as "bacterial SSU rRNA". It matches the Rfam family "Archaeal small subunit ribosomal RNA", at positions 153 to 790 of the family's 1478-position model. The record is from RNAcentral.
CCGAUAGGUGGGGAGGCCUGGAAUGGCCCCUCACCCAAAAGGAACUAGUGGCAUGCUUGCUAGUUUCGCUUGAGGAUAGGGCCGCGUCCGAUCAGGUCGCUGGUGAGGUAACGGCUCACCAGGCCUAUAACCGGUACGGGCCGUGAGAGCGGUAGCCCGGAGAUGGGCACUGAGAUAAGGGCCCAGGCCCUACGGGGCGCAGCAGGCGCGAAAACUCCGCAAUGCGCGAAAGCGUGACGGGGUCAUCCCGAGUGCCGUCCGCUGAGGAUGGCUUUUGCCAGGUCUAACCAGCCGGGUGAAUAAGGGGAGGGCAAGUCUGGUGUCAGCCGCCGCGGUAAUACCAGCUCCCCGAGUGGUUGGGACGAUUAUUGGGUCUGAAGCGUCCGUAGCCGGCCGGAAAAGUUCCCCGUUAAAUCUGGCGAUCCAAUCGUUAGGCUGCGGGGAAUACUCUUCGGCUUGGGGGCGAGGGAGGUCGGCGGUAGUCCCGGGGUAGGGGCGAAAUCCUAUAAUCCCGGGAGGACCACCAGUGGCGAAGGCGGCCGACUAAAGCGCGCCCGACGGUGAGGGACGAAAGCUGGGGGAGCGAACGGGAUUAGAUACCCCGGUAGUCCCAGCUGUAAACGAUGCAGGCUAGGUGUUGGGACGGCUACGAGC